RNAcentral lists this ribosomal RNA (497 nucleotides) under uncultured bacterium. Its description in RNAcentral is "partial 16S ribosomal RNA". It matches the Rfam family "Bacterial small subunit ribosomal RNA", at positions 28 to 507 of the family's 1533-position model. The record is from RNAcentral.
GAUGAACGCUGGCGGCGUGCCUAAUACAUGCAAGUCGAGCGAACAGACGAGGAGCUUGCUCCUCUGACGUUAGCGGCGGACGGGUGAGUAACACGUGGAUAACCUACCUAUAAGACUGGGAUAACUUCGGGAAACCGGAGCUAAUACCGGAUAAUAUAUUGAACCGCAUGGUUCAAUAGUGAAAGACGGUUUUGCUGUCACUUAUAGAUGGAUCCGCGCCGCAUUAGCUAGUUGGUAAGGUAACGGCUCACCAAGGCAACGAUGCGUAGCCGACCUGAGAGGGUGAUCGGCCACCCUGGAACUGGGACCCGGUCCAGACUCCUACGGGAGGCAGCCGUAGGGAAUCUUCCGCAAUGGGCGGAAGCUUGACGGAGCAACGCCGCGUGAGUGAUGAAGGUCUUCGGAUCGUAAAACUCUGUUAUUAGGGAAGAACAAAUGUGUAAGUAACUAUGCACGUCUUGACGGUACCUAAUCAGAAAGCCACGGCUAACUACGUG